RNA transcript from Mustela lutreola (European mink), 3807 nucleotides. It is a transcript of the gene named conserved oligomeric Golgi complex subunit 2-like, with no coding region annotated. The transcript is spliced from 8 exons. NCBI's taxonomy places the organism in Eukaryota, Metazoa, Chordata, Mammalia, Carnivora, Mustelidae. The record is from RefSeq and is a predicted model, not a curated record.
CCGCAGCGUCCUGGUUCAUUGGCGGCGGCGUGGACGCUGCCAUGUUGGCGGAAGCGGUGCCUUCUGUGCGGUGGAAAUGCCGUGGCUGCACCCGCAGCGUCGGGGAUCGCAGCCUCCUACCGUUCCUCCUCGCUGGAGUGUCGGCGCUGAGAGGCGGCGGCCGGCGGGAUGGAGAGAAGUAGGAUGAACCUCCCCAAGGAGCCGGACACGCUCUGCUUCGACAAGGAGGAGUUCAUGAAGAGAUCACAAGUAGGAAGAGAGGCAGGCAGAGAGAGAGGAGGAAACAGGCUCCCUGCUGAGGAGAAAGCCUGGUGUGGGGCUCGAUCCCAAGACCCUGGAAUCAUGACCUGAGCCGAAGGCAGAGGCCUUAACUCACUGAGCUACACAGGAAGAUUUCGACGUCAAUCAUUUUCUGUCUGUCUGUAGGAAGCGUGUCCAGCUGGAGGAACUAAGAGGAGAUCUGGAGCUCUACUAUAAACUUCUUAAAACAGCCAUGGUCGAGCUCAUCAACAAGGAUUACGCAGAUUUUGUCAACCUUUCCACAAACUUGGUUGGCAUGGACAAAGCCCUCAAUCAACUUUCUGUGCCUUUGGGACAGUUACGAGAAGAAGUUCUGAGUCUCAGGUCAUCUGUCAGUGAAGGAAUUCGGGCAGUAGAUGAACGAAUGUGUAAACAAGAGGACAUAAGGAAGAAAAAGAUGUGUGUGUUGAGGCUUAUACAAGUUAUUUAAUCAGUUGAAAAGAUUGAAAAAAUCUUAAAUUCACAAAGUUCUAAAGAAACCUCUGCACUAGAAGCAAGCAGCCCUCUCUGGACUGGACAGAUUUUGGAGAGAAUUGCCACAGAAUUUAACCAGUUAUAGUUUCAUGCUGUUCAGAGCAAAGGCAUGCCUCUUCUGGACAAAGUAAGACCACGUAUAGCCGGCAUUACGGCCAUGCUGCAGCAGUCCCUGGGAGGCCUGCUGCUAGAAGGCUUCAGACUUCCAAUGUGGAUAUCAUACGGCACUGCCUCCGGACCUACGCUACAAUUGACAAGACACGGGAUGCAGAGGCGUUAGUUGGUCAAGUACUGGUGAAACCGUACAUGGAUGAGGUUUGUGCUCCCAUGCACCUCAUUCCGCAAACACAGAGCAUCUACUCUGGCUUCUAUUCUUGACUGGGUGCGAGAGAGCUCAGGGCUCUUCCUUGAAGAUGCUCUUAGUUCCUGCUCUUCUGGUUGUAAGAAAAGAUUGGUCCCGCUUGGUGCCCAUCAGCAUGGCAGGAAUCAGGUAUGCGCUCUGGUCUUUUCCAGUGAUCUCAUAGCACAGGGAUCAUCUUAAUUUAGUAGGGGUGAGGGACUUGCCUAGGAAGAAGGUACGGAUCAGAACAUUUUUAGGUCAGUUUCCAUUUCCAUAAGUUAUACGUUAAUGGAGUUGCCGAAAAGCGUGACCCCACCAAGGCGCCCGUGCCCACUGGAGGAGCUGGAAGACAGCUCUGUGUUAGGGUCGAGAAGACCUCAACCUAGGGAGGCGCAGAGGAACGACACCAAGGCAGCUCUUUCUACAACAGCACGGGCUUUAUUGGUCCUGCAUGCUGGGGCUCUGCAACAUACCCAAAGAUCAGCCAGAGGCUGAGAGCCCCGAUUCAAGGGAGUAUGGGGUUUUUAUGCAUUUUUUUAGACAAAGGCUUGUCAUAAAGCCAUAAUCACAGUGACCUCAUAGUUACAGUUCCUGGUAUGUUCUGCACAGUUUACAUUUUUCAGUUAGCCAUAUCUUAUCAUCCAGAUGUAGCUGGGCGGCUGUGAAACUAGGAUAAAAUAGUUCUCUUCUUUGUUAACCACAAGCAUAAUUCAAGGACAUCUCUUAAGCAGGGAACAUACUCAGGAUGUGGGGCCUUGGGGGAAUGGAGGGGAACACAAAGGGAAGGCCAUGCUCCUACUCAAGGUUCGACCCACAAAGCAGCAGAGCAGUUGCAGAAAAGCAAGUUAGCAGAAGCUCCACACAAUUUAACUCUUUCAGCUCUGGAUCUCUUCAUCUGUGCGCAGGGAAAGUGCGUGAGGGGAGGCGUCUUUGCAGAAUUGAUGUGGCCUAAGUCUUGAAGACCAUGGGGGAGUUUGCCAGGCUAGGAAGGUGGGAGGGAGGGAAUAUUCAAAGAUAAAGGGAUUUUAAGGGCGAGUUAGCGGGGUAGUACCUUAAGUCCGGAACUUGGUUACCCAGUGUUCUUGACCUAUGAGGAUACACUUAAAUACAGGGAGUCAGUGUAUCCUGCCUCUGAGCGGCCAGAGUACGGGCUACACCAUGUGAGGCCGCCAGCAAUCAGCAGCUUCCCACUUAGCGUUGGUUUCAUCUAGUUCAGGCUGACAGAAGUCAUGAAACCAGUCUCAGCAUUUGAGGGCUUUCUUCCGGUCACCUGCCAGUGCGAGUGUUCUUCUGUCCAGUAAGUAUAAAGCUACCCACCAUUAUUUCAGGAUGAAAGGCUUCCAGUUUUAAAACGGUACAGUAUCCCAGUGAUAGAAGUGAAAAUGAAGGAUUAAUUUCAGUAAUCUUCUCAGCUUCAUUAGGACUACUAAAAUUAAAUGAUCUGUCAGUUCUUUGUAUGUAUCCUAUUAUAUAGUUCAUAGCUCUCUCUGUGGGGUGAAAAAGAUCACAUUAUUCUUUGUCACUAAAUGAAAAUAGUUAAGUUAUUUAAUUUAUGCCCUUUUCAUUGAACUGAAUCUAAUAUGCUAAAUUAGGGAAGUGCUUUACGUUUCCGUGUCAUUAAAUGAACUGUGGCCACGUUUGUAUUUUAAGUUUGUAUGCUUGUCAUUCACCUCCUGCAACUCAGCCUCACCACAAAAAAUAAAAUACUAAAGCAAAAUAAGAUGUGUUUUCUUCCAUCGCUUUCCGUCUCAGCCCUUUCCCUGUUCUGGAGACGGUAGAGGACAAGGCCAGGGUGAAGAUGGUACAGAGCUGUUGUCUGCAGAUACAGUAUUUCGCUUUUAAGCUCAGAAGGGAAGCAGAUGAGUGUGUGUGAUGUUUUAGCUUCAGGCCAGUCUCUGUCCCUCAGCCUCUGUGUCCCCCAGGGUUGGAGCAGUAUUCCCAAAUCCCGGGACCUAGAUUUUCGUGCCGCUGUUACUUACCUCCUGUUUAGAAAGCAUGCUGAGUGGGGAGGAGGAAGGACGAAGUGCAUUUUUAAGGUUUACUCGAUUCUUUUCUCUGUAGUGUAUAGUUCAUACUUCUCUUUUAGGUGCUUUAAAAACAAACAGUGCUCGCUUCGGCAGCACAUAUACUAAAAACAAACAAACAAACAAAUAAAUAAAUAAAAAUAAAACGGUCUUCCUUCUGCUAGGUGAUUGUAGAGCAGAUCGUUGAGUCUCAUCUGGACGACCUGAAGAUCAUGUAUGCUAAUAAGCUCCUGGAGUUUGUUCCUCACCACUGCCGCCUUCUUCAAGAGGUCACAGGAGGAGCCAUCUGAAGGCGACGUAAACUGCUGUGCAUGCGCCUGAGCUCAGUUUAGUGACCACCUGUCACCUCCUCAUGAGACGCUGAUCCCUGGCUGUCCUGUCUGACCCGGGAACGUGUGCGCUUCCCUGUUUGUUACCAGUACUGUGAGGCAGGUGUCCCCGCCUGGGUUUACAGGGAAGGGAAUGAAGAGUGGGGACGAAUCUCAAUGGUGACACUUGUGUGACUCCAGAGCCUCUGCUUUUCUCUUGUCUAUACUUUCUCCUUAACCAGGUUCAAAAUCAAAAUUGGUUUCCUUCCAUUAUUGUGAUGUCAUCAUCGGUCUAGAAAUACCAAUUCAUUUUAAUUCAACACGUUUUAUAUGAUGGCAAUUAAAGUCAUGUUCUGUUUUC